GACGAACGCUGGCGGCGUGCUUAACACAUGCAAGUCGAACGGAAAGGCGCUGCUCUUGUGGGGCGCUCGAGUGGCGAACGGGUGAGUAACACGCGUGUAACCCGCCCUUGUCUUUGGGAUAACUUCAGGAAACUGGGGCUCAUAUAGGAUAGGAGAUCCUGCUGCACGGGGGUGGUUGGUAAGUUUCGGCGGUGGGGGAUGGUCUCGCUGCUUAUCAGCUUGUUGGUCGGGUAGUGGCUGACCAAGGCUGUGACGGGUAGCCGGCCUGAGAGGGGGACCGGCGACAUUGGGACUGAGGUAGGGCCCAGUCUGCUACGGGAGGCAGCAGUGGAGAAUAUGGCACAGUGGGCGGAAGCCUGAUGCAGCAGCGCCGCGUGCGGGAUGACGGCCUUCGGGUUGUAAACCGAUUUCGCCUGUGACGAAGCGUGAGUGACGGUAAUGGGUAAGGAAGCACCGGCUAACUACGUG
RNAcentral lists this ribosomal RNA (468 nucleotides) under uncultured bacterium. RNAcentral describes it as "partial 16S ribosomal RNA". It matches the Rfam family "Bacterial small subunit ribosomal RNA", at positions 28 to 507 of the family's 1533-position model. The record is from RNAcentral.